AAUCACUGGUGACUAGCUAGAUUGCUUUAAAUUGUGUACUGAUGUGAUACUAGGCGGAGGCUAUUCAGGCAUGGCGAGUGAAUAGUUAUAAAAGAAGAAUAGUCUAACCACAGGACAGAUGGUGGGCUAGGGUCACGAGACGUUAUUCCUGAAACAUCGGAUAUCAUUUUUCCCUUCGCCCACAGACGACGAGAGGCAGUAUCUGUAUAUAAAUUUAGUAAUCUCCCACUAUUAUUAUACUGAUCGUUACUUUGAGACGUGUUAGAUGAACAUAGGACAUUUUUGAUGAUUUGUGUCGAAGUUUUUUCCCGAACAGAAGAAGAGCAGCCAAUGAAGAUAAAGCAAAGUUACAGAUUUACAAGAGCGCAACUGAUCGCCAUAAUGUCACUCAAAGAAGAGUCGUCUAAAAGCAUAAUGACUGCUAUUCUGAUGUGCACUACUUUGAUUGUCUGUAUCGGGACCUGUUCACUGUGCGUCGCUUUAUCUCUCCGCGUUUCAAGCUUAGAGGAGCAACUGGCUUCAAAGAUUACUACGCCAAACAUGACGUCACGUAUCUACGAUCGAAAGAAUAAAACUAUUUCCUGUCAGCCAUGUUCCGCCUUAAGCUUGGGUCCUUUUCUGGAGGAUGAGCCUGAAUUGAAAUCGUUCCUCAGGUUUAUCGAGGACGGCGUUCUUAUUUGUUGCUCCAGGACUUCAGAGGAAAACGGCAAAUUGAUCAAACUGCUUGUAAAACGCCAAAUCGCCAUAGAAACGGCAAA
This is a long non-coding RNA of Liolophura sinensis, 758 nucleotides long. RefSeq lists it as uncharacterized. The record is from RefSeq and is a predicted model, not a curated record. The transcript has 3 exons. Lineage: Eukaryota; Metazoa; Mollusca; Polyplacophora; Chitonida; Chitonidae.